This 72-nucleotide transfer RNA is filed under the name Aedes aegypti (yellow fever mosquito). It matches the Rfam family "tRNA". Rfam says of the family: Transfer RNA (tRNA) molecules are approximately 80 nucleotides in length. Their secondary structure includes four short double-helical elements and three loops (D, anti-codon, and T loops). Lineage: Eukaryota; Metazoa; Arthropoda; Insecta; Diptera; Culicidae. The record is from Rfam by way of RNAcentral.
GGCUCGAUAGCUUAGUUGAUAAAGCACUCGUCUAGCAUACAAGAGUUGUGGGUUCGAAUCCCAUCUGAGCAC